Molecule: ribosomal RNA, 949 nt
Filed under: Helotiales sp.
Lineage: Eukaryota; Fungi; Ascomycota; Leotiomycetes; Helotiales
Description: SSU rRNA
Rfam family: Eukaryotic small subunit ribosomal RNA
Source: RNAcentral
CUAUACGGUGAACUGCGAAUGGCUCAUUAAAUCAGUUAUCGUUUAUUUGAUAGUACCUUACUACUUGGAUAACCGUGGUAAUUCUAGAGCUAAUACAUGCUAAAAACCUCGACUUCGGAAGGGGUGUAUUUAUUAGAUAAAAAACCAAUGCCCUUCGGGGCUCCCUGGUGAUUCAUAAUAACUUAACGAAUCGCAUGGCCUUGUGCCGGCGAUGGUUCAUUCAAAUUUCUGCCCUAUCAACUUUCGAUGGUAGGAUAGUGGCCUACCAUGGUUUCAACGGGUAACGGGGAAUUAGGGUUCUAUUCCGGAGAGGGAGCCUGAGAAACGGCUGCCACAUCCAAGGAAGGCAGCAGGCGCGCAAAUUACCCAAUCCCGACACGGGGAGGUAGUGACAAUAAAUACUGAUACAGGGCUCUUUUGGGUCUUGUAAUUGGAAUGAGUACAAUUUAAAUCCCUUAACGAGGAACAAUUGGAGGGCAAGUCUGGUGCCAGCAGCCGCGGUAAUUCCAGCUCCAAUAGCGUAUAUUAAAGUUGUUGCAGUUAAAAAGCUCGUAGUUGAACCUUGAGCCUGGCUGGCCGGUCCGCCUCACCGCGUGCACUGGUCCGGCCGGGUUUUUCCUUCUGGGGAGCCGCAUGCCCUUCACUGGGUGUGUCGGGGAACCAGGACUUUUACUUUGAAAAAAUUAGAGUGUUCAAAGCAGGCCUAUGCUCGAAUACAUUAGCAUGGAAUAAUAGAAUAGGACGUGUGGUUCUAUUUUGUUGGUUUCUAGGACCGCCGUAAUGAUUAAUAGGGAUAGUCGGGGGCAUCAGUAUUCAAUUGUCAGAGGUGAAAUUCUUGGAUUUAUUGAAGACUAACUACUGCGAAAGCAUUUGCCAAGGAUGUUUUCAUUAAUCAGUGAACGAAAGUUAGGGAUCGAGGACGAUCAGAUACUCGUCGUAGUCUUAACCA